This 429-nucleotide ribosomal RNA is filed under the name uncultured bacterium. RNAcentral describes it as "bacterial SSU rRNA". It matches the Rfam family "Bacterial small subunit ribosomal RNA", at positions 109 to 518 of the family's 1533-position model. The record is from RNAcentral.
AGUAACGCGUAGGCAAUCUGCCUUCUAGAUGGGACAACAUCCCGAAAGGGGUGCUAAUACCGAAUGUUGUACCGUUUCCGCAUGGAGAUGAUACUAAAGGUGGCCUCUGAAUAUGCUACCGCUAGAAGAUGAGCCUGCGUCUGAUUAGCUAGUUGGAGGGUAACGGCCCACCAAGGCUUCGAUCAGUAGCCGGUCUGAGAGGAUGAACGGCCACACUGGGACUGAGACACGGCCCAGACUCCUACGGGAGGCAGCAGUGGGGAAUCUUCCGCAAUGGACGAAAGUCUGACGGAGCAACGCCGCGUGAGUGAAGAAGGUUUUCGGAUCGUAAAGCUCUUUCGUUAGGGACGAACGUGCUCUUUGUGAAUAAUGAGGAGUAAUGACGGUACCUAAAUAAGAAGCCACGGCUAACUACGUGCCAGCCGCCGC